Molecule: ribosomal RNA, 445 nt
Filed under: uncultured soil bacterium
Lineage: Bacteria
Description: bacterial SSU rRNA
Rfam family: Bacterial small subunit ribosomal RNA
Source: RNAcentral
AGAACGAACGCUGGCGGCAUGCCUAAUACAUGCAAGUCGAACGAACACUUCGGUGUUAGUGGCGCACGGGUGCGUAACGCGUGGGAAUCUGCCCUUGGGUUCGGAAUAACAGUUGGAAACGACUGCUAAUACCGGAUGAUAUCGAAAGAUCAAAGAUUUAUCGCCCAGGGAUGAGCCCGCGUAGGAUUAGCUAGUUGGUGAGGUAAAGGCUCACCAAGGCGACGAUCCUUAGCUGGUCUGAGAGGAUGAUCAGCCACACUGGGACUGAGACACGGCCCAGACUCCUACGGGAGGCAGCAGUAGGGAAUAUUGGACAAUGGGCGCAAGCCUGAUCCAGCAAUGCCGCGUGAGUGAUGAAGGCCUUAGGGUUGUAAAGCUCUUUACCCGAGAUGAUAAUGACAGUAUCGGGAGAAUAAGCCCCGGCUAACUCCGCGCCAGCAGCCGC